UACGGGGGGGGUAAGCGUUGUUCGGAAUUACUGGGCGUAAAGGGCUCGUAGGCGGUCUGUUGCGUCAGGAGUGAAAACUCAGGGCUUAACCCUGAGCCUGCUUCCGAUACGGGCAGACUAGAGGUAUGCAGGGGAGAACGGAAUUCCUGGUGUAGCGGUGAAAUGCGCAGAUAUCAGGAGGAACACCGGUGGCGAAGGCGGUUCUCUGGGCAUUACCUGACGCUGAGGAGCGAAAGUGUGGGGAGCGAACAGG
RNAcentral lists this ribosomal RNA (253 nucleotides) under uncultured bacterium. RNAcentral's name for it is "partial 16S ribosomal RNA". It matches the Rfam family "Bacterial small subunit ribosomal RNA", at positions 524 to 776 of the family's 1533-position model. The record is from RNAcentral.